Molecule: ribosomal RNA, 460 nt
Filed under: uncultured bacterium
Lineage: Bacteria
Description: partial 16S ribosomal RNA
Rfam family: Bacterial small subunit ribosomal RNA
Source: RNAcentral
CCUACGGGCGGCAGCAGUCGAGAAUCAUUCACAAUGGGGGAAACCCUGAUGGUGCGACGCCGCGUGAGGGAUGAAGGUUCUAUGGAUCGUAAACCUCUUUUAUAAGGGAAUAAAGUGCGGGACGUGUCCCGUUUUGUAUGUACCUUAUGAAUAAGGAUCGGCUAACUCCGUGCGAGCAGCCGCGGUAAUACGGAGGAUCCGAGCGUUAUCCGGGUUUCUUGGGUUUAAAGGGUGCGUAGUCGGCCUUUUAAGUCAGCGGGAAAAGGCUGUGGCUCAACCAUGGAAUUGCCGUGGAAACUGGGAGGCUUGGGUAUGUUGGAGGCAGGCGGAAGUCGUGGUGUAGCGGUGAAAUGCUUAGAUAUCACGCAGAACCCCGAUGGCGAAGGCAGCCUGCCAAGCCAUGACUGACGCUGAUGCACGAAAGCGUGGGGAUCAAACAGGAUUAGAUACCCCAGUAGUC